This 498-nucleotide ribosomal RNA is filed under the name Marphysa sp. B HA-2019. RNAcentral describes it as "partial 16S ribosomal RNA". It matches the Rfam family "Bacterial large subunit ribosomal RNA", at positions 1832 to 2600 of the family's 2925-position model. Lineage: Eukaryota; Metazoa; Annelida; Polychaeta; Eunicida; Eunicidae. The record is from RNAcentral.
UGUAGCACCCCCUAUUACAGGUACACCCUGCCCAGUGUUAUUAUCAACGGCCGCGGUACCCUGACCGUGCAAAGGUAGCAUAAUAAUUUGCCUUUUAAUUGAAGGCUAGUAUGAAAGGGCAAACGAGAAUAAGACUGUCUCACUCAUACCUAUAAAAAUUUAUCUCCAGGUGAAGAAGCCUGGAUUAAUAUAAAAGACAAGAAGACCCUGUCGAGCUUUAGCAUAACAUAUGAGCUUACUCCAUCUACACCAUUCCUCACAUCCAAGCUUUUGUUGGGGCGACAACGGAACCCAUCAAUCUUCCGUGAUACUUCAGACCUUACGUCACCUAAAUGAUCCUUUACUGAUCACAAGAUCCAGCUACCGCAGGGAUAACAGACUAAUCUUCCUUCGGAGCCCAAAUCUACAGGAAGGCUUGGCACCUCGAUGUUGGCUUAGGAAAAUCCCCUAGAUGAAGCAGUCUAGGAAGUGGGUUUGUUCAACCCUUAAUAUCCUACG